This 86-nucleotide microRNA precursor is filed under the name Solanum tuberosum (potato). Its description in RNAcentral is "MIR8024 microRNA precursor family". It matches the Rfam family "MIR8024 microRNA precursor family". Lineage: Eukaryota; Viridiplantae; Streptophyta; Magnoliopsida; Solanales; Solanaceae. The record is from Rfam by way of RNAcentral.
UUGGAGGAUUUAAAGACUUUAACUUGCAGACUUGGAGGUUUUGAAGACUUCAACUUGCAGACUUGGAGUAUUUGAAGACUUCAACU